CCAGACUCCUACGGGAGGCAGCAGUGGGGAAUAUUGCACAAUGGGCGCAAGCCUGAUGCAGCCAUGCCGCGUGUAUGAAGAAGGCCUUCGGGUUGUAAAGUACUUUCAGUCGGGAGGAAGGUAGUAAGGUUAAUAACCUUAUCAAUUGACGUUACCGACAGAAGAAGCACCGGCUAACUCCGUGCCAGCAGCCGCGGUAAUACGGAGGGUGCAAGCGUUAAUCGGAAUUACUGGGCGUAAAGCGCACGCAGGCGGUCUGUCAAGUCGGAUGUGAAAUCCCCGGGCUCAACCUGGGAACUGCAUUCGAAACUGGCAGGCUGGAGUCUUGUAGAGGGGGGUAGAAUUCCAGGUGUAGCGGUGAAAUGCGUAGAGAUCUGGAGGAAUACCGGUGGCGAAGGCGGCCCCCUGGACAAAGACUGACGCUCAGGUGCGAAAGCGUGGGGAGCAAACAGGAUUAGAUACCCGUGUAAA
Molecule: ribosomal RNA, 471 nt
Filed under: uncultured bacterium
Lineage: Bacteria
Description: bacterial SSU rRNA
Rfam family: Bacterial small subunit ribosomal RNA
Source: RNAcentral